Limulus polyphemus (Atlantic horseshoe crab) is the source of this 243-nucleotide long non-coding RNA. RefSeq lists it as uncharacterized. NCBI's taxonomy places the organism in Eukaryota, Metazoa, Arthropoda, Merostomata, Xiphosura, Limulidae. The record is from RefSeq and is a predicted model, not a curated record. The transcript has 3 exons.
UAACUAAGGGGACCCAACAAAGUGGUUUACUAAUGGAAGGUACUAACUAAGGGGAUCCUACAAAGGGAUAUACUAAUGGAAGGUACUAACUAAGGGGACCCUACAAAGUGGUUUACUAAUGGAAGGUACUAACUAGGGGGACCCAACAAAGUGGUUUACUGAUGGAAGGUACUAACUAAGGGGAUCCUACAAAGUGGUUUACUAAUGGAAAGUACUAACUAAGGGGCCCCUACAAAGUGGUUU